UUAAUGUUUUAUGUAUCAUUCUUAAUUGUCACUGUAUGUCAUGUUGUCACUUGCGGGCGAAGCACCAAGGCAAAUUCCUUGUAUGUAAUUACUUGGCCACUAAACUUAUUCAUUCUUUCAUUCACUUGUCCAGC
This is a long non-coding RNA of Amblyraja radiata (thorny skate), 134 nucleotides long. RefSeq lists it as uncharacterized. Lineage: Eukaryota; Metazoa; Chordata; Chondrichthyes; Rajiformes; Rajidae. The record is from RefSeq and is a predicted model, not a curated record. The transcript has 3 exons.